RNAcentral lists this ribosomal RNA (1166 nucleotides) under Rahnella aquatilis. RNAcentral's name for it is "bacterial SSU rRNA". It matches the Rfam family "Bacterial small subunit ribosomal RNA", at positions 47 to 1203 of the family's 1533-position model. The record is from RNAcentral. Lineage: Bacteria; Pseudomonadati; Pseudomonadota; Gammaproteobacteria; Enterobacterales; Yersiniaceae.
CUAUUCACAUGCAAGUCGAGCGGCAGCGGGAAGUAGCUUGCUACUUUGCCGGCGAGCGGCGGACGGGUGAGUAAUGUCUGGGAAACUGCCUGAUGGAGGGGGAUAACUACUGGAAACGGUAGCUAAUACCGCAUGACCUCGAAAGAGCAAAGUGGGGGAUCUUCGGACCUCACGCCAUCGGAUGUGCCCAGAUGGGAUUAGCUAGUAGGUGAGGUAAUGGCUCACCUAGGCGACGAUCCCUAGCUGGUCUGAGAGGAUGACCAGCCACACUGGAACUGAGACACGGUCCAGACUCCUACGGGAGGCAGCAGUGGGGAAUAUUGCACAAUGGGCGCAAGCCUGAUGCAGCCAUGCCGCGUGUGUGAAGAAGGCCUUAGGGUUGUAAAGCACUUUCAGCGAGGAGGAAGGCAUCACACUUAAUACGUGUGGUGAUUGACGUUACUCGCAGAAGAAGCACCGGCUAACUCCGUGCCAGCAGCCGCGGUAAUACGGAGGGUGCAAGCGUUAAUCGGAAUUACUGGGCGUAAAGCGCACGCAGGCGGUUUGUUAAGUCAGAUGUGAAAUCCCCGCGCUUAACGUGGGAACUGCAUUUGAAACUGGCAAGCUAGAGUCUUGUAGAGGGGGGUAGAAUUCCAGGUGUAGCGGUGAAAUGCGUAGAGAUCUGGAGGAAUACCGGUGGCGAAGGCGGCCCCCUGGACAAAGACUGACGCUCAGGUGCGAAAGCGUGGGGAGCAAACAGGAUUAGAUACCCUGGUAGUCCACGCUGUAAACGAUGUCGACUUGGAGGUUGUGCCCUUGAGGCGUGGCUUCCGGAGCUAACGCGUUAAGUCGACCGCCUGGGGAGUACGGCCGCAAGGUUAAAACUCAAAUGAAUUGACGGGGGCCCGCACAAGCGGUGGAGCAUGUGGUUUAAUUCGAUGCAACGCGAAGAACCUUACCUACUCUUGACAUCCAGAGAAUUCGCCAGAGAUGGCUAAGUGCCUUCGGGAACUCUGAGACAGGUGCUGCAUGGCUGUCGUCAGCUCGUGUUGUGAAAUGUUGGGUUAAGUCCCGCAACGAGCGCAACCCUUAUCCUUUGUUCCAGCGAGUAAUGGUGGGAACUCAAAGGAGACUGCCGGUGAUAAACCGGAGGAAGGUGGGGAUGACGUCAAGUCAUCAUGGCCCUU